GACGAACGCUGGCGGCGUGCCUAAUACAUGCAGGUUGAGCGCUGAAGGUUGGUACUUGUACCAACUGGAUGAGCAGCGAACGGGUGAGUAACGCGUGGGGAAUCUGCCUUUGAGCGGGGGACAACAUUUGGAAACGAAUGCUAAUACCGCAUAAAAACUUUAAACACAAGUUUUAAGUUUGAAAGAUGCAAUUGCAUCACUCAAAGAUGAUCCCGCGUUGUAUUAGCUAGUUGGUGAGGUAAAGGCUCACCAAGGCGAUGAUACAUAGCCGACCUGAGAGGGUGAUCGGCCACAUUGGGACUGAGACACGGCCCAAACUCCUACGGGAGGCAGCAGUAGGGAAUCUUCGGCAAUGGACGAAAGUCUGACCGAGCAACGCCGCGUGAGUGAAGAAGGGUGUCGGAUCGUAAAACUCUGUUGGUAGAGAAGAACGUUGGUGAGAGUGGAAAGCUCAUCAAGUGACGGUAACUACCCAGAAAGGGACGGCUAACUACGUG
This 497-nucleotide ribosomal RNA is filed under the name uncultured bacterium. Its description in RNAcentral is "partial 16S ribosomal RNA". It matches the Rfam family "Bacterial small subunit ribosomal RNA", at positions 28 to 507 of the family's 1533-position model. The record is from RNAcentral.